GGGGAUUUAGCUCAGUGGCAGAGCGCUUGCCUAGGAAGCGCAAGGCCCUGGGUUCGGUCCCCAGCUCCA
Molecule: non-coding RNA, 69 nt
Organism: Rattus norvegicus (Norway rat)
Lineage: Eukaryota; Metazoa; Chordata; Mammalia; Rodentia; Muridae
Source: Rfam